RNAcentral lists this ribosomal RNA (274 nucleotides) under uncultured bacterium. Its description in RNAcentral is "partial 16S ribosomal RNA". It matches the Rfam family "Bacterial small subunit ribosomal RNA", at positions 523 to 796 of the family's 1533-position model. The record is from RNAcentral.
AUACGGAGGGAGCAAGCGUUAUUCGGAAUCACUGGGCGUAAAGGACGCGUAGGCGGGUUUGUAAGUCAGGUGUGAAAUCCUACAGCUCAACUGUAGAACUGCACUUGAAACUACAGACCUAGAGUAUGGAAGGGGCAGAUGGAAUUAGUGGUGUAGGGGUAAAAUCCGUAGAUAUCACUAGGAAUACCGAAAGCGAAGGCGAUCUGCUGGGACAUUACUGACGCUGAGGCGUGAAAGCGUGGGGAGCGAACAGGAUUAGAAACCCUAGUAGUCC